GAUGAACGCUGGCGGCGUGCCUAAUACAUGCAAGUCGAGCGAACAGACGAGGAGCUUGCUCCUCUGACGUUAGCGGCGGACGGGUGAGUAACACGUGGAUAACCUACCUAUAAGACUGGGAUAACUUCGGGAAACCGGAGCUAAUACCGGAUAAUAUAUUGAACCGCAUGGUUCAAUAGUGAAAGACGGUUUUGCUGUCACUUAUAGAUGGAUCCGCGCCGCAUUAGCUAGUUGGUAAGGUAACGGCUUACCAAGGCAACGAUGCGUAGCCGACGUGAGAGGGUGAUCGGCCACACUAGAACUGAGACACGGUCCAGACUCCUACGGGAGGCAGCAGUAGGGAAUCUUCCGCAAUGGGCGAAAGCCUGACGGAGCAACGCCGCGUGAGUGAUGAAGGUCUUCGGAUCGUAAAACUCUGUUAUUAGGGAAGAACAAAUGUGUAAGUAACUAUGCACGUCUUGACGGUACCUAAUCAGAAAGCCACGGCUAACUACGUG
RNAcentral lists this ribosomal RNA (497 nucleotides) under uncultured bacterium. Its description in RNAcentral is "partial 16S ribosomal RNA". It matches the Rfam family "Bacterial small subunit ribosomal RNA", at positions 28 to 507 of the family's 1533-position model. The record is from RNAcentral.